CCUACGGGUGGCAGCAGUGAGGAAUAUUGGUCAAUGGACGAGAGUCUGAACCAGCCAAGUAGCGUGAAGGAUGACUGCCCUAUGGGUUGUAAACUUCUUUUAUAUGGGAAUAAAACGUUCCACGUGUGGGAGUUUGUAUGUACCAUAUGAAUAAGGAUCGGCUAACUCCGUGCCAGCAGCCGCGGUAAUACGGAGGAUCCGAGCGUUAUCCGGAUUUAUUGGGUUUAAAGGGAGCGUAGGUGGAUUGUUAAGUCAGUUGUGAAAGUUUGCGGCUCAACCGUAAAAUUGCAGUUGAAACUGGCAGUCUUGAGUACAGUAGAGGUGGGCGGAAUUCGUGGUGUAGCGGUGAAAUGCUUAGAUAUCACGAAGAACUCCGAUUGCGAAGGCAGCUCACUGGACUGCAACUGACACUGAUGCUCGAAAGUGUGGGUAUCAAACAGGAUUAGAUACCCCAGUAGUC
Molecule: ribosomal RNA, 460 nt
Filed under: uncultured bacterium
Lineage: Bacteria
Description: partial 16S ribosomal RNA
Rfam family: Bacterial small subunit ribosomal RNA
Source: RNAcentral